AGGUGCUGCAUGGCUGUCGUCAGCUCGUGUCGUGAGAUGUUGGGUUAAGUCCCGCAACGAGCGCAACCCUUGUCCUUAGUUGCCAUCAUUAAGUUGGGCACUCUAGGGAGACUGCCGGUGUUAAACCGGAGGAAGGUGGGGAUGACGUCAAGUCCUCAUGGCCCUUAUGUCCAGGGCUACACACGUGCUACAAUGGCCGGUACAAAGGGCUGCGAUACCGCAAGGUGGAGCAAAUCCCAAAAAGCCGGUCUCAGUUCGGAUUGGAGUCUGCAACUCGACUCCAUGAAGUUGGAAUCGCUAGUAAUCGCGUAUCAGCAUGACGCGGUGAAUACGUUCCCGGGCCUUGUACACACCGCCCGUCACACCACGGGAGUCUGUUGUACCGGAAAGCGGUGGGCCAACCUUCGGGAGGCAGCCGUUUAUGGUAUGGCCGGUAACUGGGGUGAAGUCGUAACAAGGUA
Molecule: ribosomal RNA, 461 nt
Filed under: uncultured bacterium
Lineage: Bacteria
Description: bacterial SSU rRNA
Rfam family: Bacterial small subunit ribosomal RNA
Source: RNAcentral